AGUGAACGCUGGCGGCGUGCUUAAUACAUGCAAGUCGAACGGUGAAGUCCUAGCUUGCUGGGAUGGAUUAGUGGCGCACGGGUGAGUAAUAUAUAGUUAAUCUGCCUUGCACUGAGGAACAACAGUUGGAAACGAUUGCUAAUACCUCAUACUCCAACUUUACAUAAGUUAAGUUGGGAAAGUCUUUUCGGUGCAAGAUGAGACUAUAUCGUAUCAGCUAGUUGGUAAGGUAAUGGCUUACCAAGGCUAUGACGCGUGACUGGUCUGAGAGGAUGAUCAGUUACAUUCGAACUGAGACACGGGCCAAACACGUACGGGAGGCAGCAGGAAGGAAGAUUGUUCAAUGGGGGAAUGCCUGACGCAGCACCGGCGCGGGAAGGAUGACACUUUGCUGAGCGUAAACUUCUUUUGUUACGGAAGAAUAAUGACGGUACCGAACGAAGAAGCACCGGCUAACUACGUG
Molecule: ribosomal RNA, 463 nt
Filed under: uncultured bacterium
Lineage: Bacteria
Description: partial 16S ribosomal RNA
Rfam family: Bacterial small subunit ribosomal RNA
Source: RNAcentral